AUUGAACGCUGGCGGCAGGCUUAACACAUGCAAGUCGAGCGGAGAGAGGUAGCUUGCUACUGAUCUUAGCGGCGGACGGGUGAGUAAUGCUUAGGAAUCUGCCUAUUAGUGGGGGACAACAUUUCGAAAGGAAUGCUAAUACCGCAUACGUCCUACGGGAGAAAGCAGGGGAUCUUCGGACCUUGCGCUAAUAGAUGAGCCUAAGUCGGAUUAGCUAGGUGGUGGGGUAAAGGCCUACCAAGGCGACGAUCUGUAGCGGGUCUGAGAGGAUGAUCCGCCACACUGGGACUGAGACACGGCCCAGACUCCUACGGGAGGCAGCAGUGGGGAAUAUUGGACAAUGGGGGGAACCCUGAUCCAGCCAUGCCGCGUGUGUGAAGAAGGCCUUAUGGUUGUAAAGCACUUUAAGCGAGGAGGAGGCUCUUUUGGUUAAUACCCAAGAUGAGUGGACGUUACUCGCAGAAUAAGCACCGGCUAACUCUGUGCCAGCCGCCGCCGUAA
RNAcentral lists this ribosomal RNA (501 nucleotides) under uncultured bacterium. Its description in RNAcentral is "partial 16S ribosomal RNA". It matches the Rfam family "Bacterial small subunit ribosomal RNA", at positions 30 to 523 of the family's 1533-position model. The record is from RNAcentral.